Non-coding RNA from Pelobates cultripes (western spadefoot toad), 246 nucleotides. The record is from the annotation of a GenBank genome assembly. NCBI's taxonomy places the organism in Eukaryota, Metazoa, Chordata, Amphibia, Anura, Pelobatidae.
GGGAUUUCUGCAAGUCGACUACCCAAGAAAUUGCACUCUACUUCGAUAGCCUCUAAGCCUGAAGACACAAGGGAAUUAGCUGCUGGAUAGUGAAGCUAACCUGCAUCUCAUACACAUAAAAGAACUAGGAUUUGUUCUAGAAUUGUCACCCUCCAUACUCAUUGUUUGCAGGGGUGUCUGCGUGGAAACAAAAUGGUGAGCAUACUGUAAAACCAAUGUUUGCAAUUCCUGAAAUUUGGAUGCUAA